CAAGAUGAGAUUUCCCAAUUAGUAAGACCCCUGAAAGACGAUCAGGUUGAUAGGUUCGAGGUGGAAGCGCAGCAAUGUGUGGAGCUGACGAAUACUAAUCGGUCGAGGGCUUAUCCUA
RNAcentral lists this ribosomal RNA (118 nucleotides) under Paenibacillus taihuensis. Its description in RNAcentral is "partial 23S ribosomal RNA". It matches the Rfam family "Bacterial large subunit ribosomal RNA", at positions 2800 to 2925 of the family's 2925-position model. Lineage: Bacteria; Bacillati; Bacillota; Bacilli; Caryophanales; Paenibacillaceae. The record is from RNAcentral.